GGUUGAUCUUGCCAGUAGUCAUAUGCUUGUCUCAAAGAUUAAGCCAUGCAAGUCUAAGUACGACUCUCGUAUAGUGAAUCUGCGAAUGGCUCAUUACAUCGGUCAUAAUUUGCUGGACGAGUCGAUCCUACUUGGAUAACUCUACCAAAGUAGAGCUAAUACAUGCAACAGGCCGUCUCUUUGCGGAGACGGUGCUUUUAUUAGAUCAAACGCCGAUGGCACUCGUGUCUCAAGCGGCGAGUCGUGAUAACUCUAGCAUAUCGCACGGUUAUAUACCGGCGAAGCGUCCUUCAAGUGACUGCCUUAUCAGCUGUCGAUGGUAGUGUAUUGGACUACCAUCGCAUUAACGGGUGACGGAGAAUCAGGGUUCGAUUCCGGAGAGGGAGCCUGCGAAACGGCUGCCACAUCUACGGAAGGCAGCAGGCACGCAAAUUACCCAAUCCCGACUCGGGGAGGUAGUGACGAAAAAUAACGAUACGUGGUACUCACUCGAGAACCCGUAAUUGGAAUGAGUACAAUUUAAAUCCUUUAACGAGGAUCUAUUGGAGGGCAAGUCUGGUGCCAGCAGCCGCGGUAAUUCCAGCUCCAAUAGCGUAUAUUAAAGUUGUUGCAGUUAAAAAGCUCGUAGUUGGAUCUUGGAUNCGGGUACCGCGGUCCGAGCAGCGUCUCUGCACUGCGGUCGCCCUGUCUAUAUGUCUGGAGGCCCGUCGGUGUCCUUCACUGGGCGCUGUCGGGUGCUGGAGCGUUUACUUUGAAAAAAUUAGAGUGUUCAAAGCAGACACGUCCGUCCGUAUAAUUCUGCAUGGAAUAAUGGAAUAAGAGUUGGACUUAUUUUUGUUGGUGUCCGAAGUCUAACUAAUGAUUAACAGGGACGGACGGGGGCAUCGGUACCCCGUAGGGAGAGGUGAAAUUCUUUGAUCUACGGGAGACCAACUACUGCGAAAGCAUUUGCCAAGAAUGUUUUCAUUAAUCAGGAACGAAAGUCGGAGGUUCGAAGGCGAUCAGAUACCGCCCUAGUUCCGACCAUAAACGAUGCCAACCAGCGAUCUGCCGACGUUAAUCAUAAGACUCGGUAGGAAGCUUCCGGGAAACCAAAGUGUUUGGGUUCCGGGGAAAGUAUGGUUGCAANANNGAAAUUUAAANGAAUUGACGGAAGGGCACCACCAGGAGUGGAGCCUGCGGCUUAAUUUGACUCAACACGGGAAACCUCACCAGGCCCAGACACGGGAAGGAUUGACAGAUUGAGAGCUCUUUCUUGAUUUCGUGGGUGGUGGUGCAUGGCCGUUCUUAGUUGGUGGAGCGAUUUGUCUGGUUAAUUCCGAUAACGAACGAGACUCAGUCCUACUAUUUAGA
RNAcentral lists this ribosomal RNA (1353 nucleotides) under Facetotecta sp. RNAcentral's name for it is "SSU rRNA". It matches the Rfam family "Eukaryotic small subunit ribosomal RNA", at positions 6 to 1359 of the family's 1831-position model. The record is from RNAcentral. Lineage: Eukaryota; Metazoa; Arthropoda; Thecostraca.